Archocentrus centrarchus (flier cichlid) is the source of this 633-nucleotide long non-coding RNA. RefSeq lists it as uncharacterized. The record is from RefSeq and is a predicted model, not a curated record. Lineage: Eukaryota; Metazoa; Chordata; Actinopteri; Cichliformes; Cichlidae. The transcript has 3 exons.
AGAGAAAGCGUCCCCUUUUCUCUUCUUUUAUUUAUAUCAAUACACUUGUACUGUUUUAUUUUGAAAAACCUUUAUUUUGAAAAGAGGAAGUGUGAUUCCCUCGUCUUAACCUUACUUCCGGUCUCGCUAUAUGCGGCACUUUGAACUGAAGGUGGCAGGCCGUAGACCCGCUGUGCUGAACUUUAUCAGUCAUCUUGUUGAUGGAACACGAGCUAGAGAGGCCGUGUGGCUGACCGUCGCCGUGUCCUUAUUGAUACCUCAUCUUGGCUAGGUUUGAUUUGCUGAUUAAGAAGUUGGAUUGGAUUGCUGGAUCGCAUCCUUGGAUUCUCUCCGGACGGAGAUGGCGAGCCUAUGCCCAGAGCAGAACUGAACAUUGGUCGAGGAGUCCCCUUCUUCUCUUCUGUGUUAACAUCUACGUGGUAACAAUACAAACCACUGACUGAAAAAAGGAGCUGAACUUGAAAGACAAACAUAUUUUGACUUGACUAACGACCAAAAGGACAAAGCUGAAAUACUGAGCUCAGUAAGACUGUGUUUUGAUUUUGAUAUGCCGGCUUGUUGUUAUUAUUAUUGUUCUGAUUACGUUGUGUUGUUAUUUCAUUUUUGCUCAAAAUAAUAACUGUCUUUUGCUCA